GGGGACGACUGGUUUUGACAGCAAGGUCAGUAAAAUUGUAAGCAUACCAAGGAGUGAAAUGACUACUUGUAAAACUUAUUUCAAAACUAUAAACGGCGAAGAUAACUACGCUUUAGCUGCAUAAUCUGAAUCAUAGUAGGAUUAGCCUCGGUGCACAAGGUGCACAAGCUAAAUGUCCACAAAAAGCCUUGGUUUACGGCGUUUUACUUUUGGGCAUCGUAAAAGUAAACAUAGAGGAUCUACAGCUUCGGUAGGUUUUCGAAAUUUUAGAAGCUAAGUGAAAAGUAGGUGGUUUUUGAUCAGCUUUUCAACGAAAACCAAACAAAAACUAAGUAUGUAGAAAGCACUUGAGCUGCUUGUUUGGACCCGAGUUCGAUUCUCGGCGUCUCCACAU
Molecule: transfer-messenger RNA, 394 nt
Filed under: Flavobacteriaceae
Lineage: Bacteria; Pseudomonadati; Bacteroidota; Flavobacteriia; Flavobacteriales
Also listed under: 1 other name
Description: Polaribacter sp002471825 Standard tmRNA
Rfam family: transfer-messenger RNA
About the family: Bacterial tmRNA, also known as 10Sa RNA or SsrA, is named for its dual tRNA and mRNA-like properties. Its role is to liberate the mRNA from a stalled ribosome. To accomplish this part of the tmRNA is used as a reading frame that ends in a translation stop signal.
Source: RNAcentral